RNAcentral lists this long non-coding RNA (1411 nucleotides) under Cercocebus atys (sooty mangabey). RNAcentral describes it as "lncRNA (ENSCATG00000045572.1)". The record is from RNAcentral. Lineage: Eukaryota; Metazoa; Chordata; Mammalia; Primates; Cercopithecidae.
GGCGCAGCGCGCAGGGCGGAGGCAGCAGCGGCGCUGGGCCGGGAGGAGGCCGGCCAGGGUGCGGAGCGGCCCCAGCCCGGCCCCCAGUGGGGAGAUGGCGUCCUACGUAGAUAACAGCUUCCGCCAGGCGGUGAUGAAGAACCCCCCUGAAAGGACCCCCCAGGAUCUGGAAAUAGUAUAUUCCUAUUUACAUGGUAUGGAAGCCUUGUCAAACUUGAGGGAGCAUCAACUUAGGUUAAUGUGUGAAACUGUGAGAUAUGAGAAAAAAAAAAAAAAAGAAAAAAAAAAAAAAAAGGUGUUUCCUUUUUGUUUGUACAAAAAAAAAAAAAAAAAAAAAAAAAAAAAAUAAAGAAUCAAAGGAGUAUUAGUAAAAAAAAAAAAAAUAAAAAAAAAAAAAAAUUUCUUAGUUGAGAAAUGGGAAAAAAAAAAAAAAAAACAAAAAAAAAAAAAAAAGUUUACAGUUCUUUCCUGAUAAGUCCACAUUUAUGUCUAUAUUUGUAUCUCUCACAUGUGGGUCAAAGAUACUAUAAAAAAAAAAAAAAUAAAAAAACAAAAAAAUUAUGAAAUAAGAAAUAGUAUACAAAAAAAAAAAAAAAAAAAAAAAAAAAAAACCACAGGCACACCAGAUGAAAUGAAAAAAAAAAAAAAAAAAAAAAUAAAAAAAUAUCCUUCUUUCAGAAACAGGAAAAAAAAAAAAAAAACAAAAAAAGAAAAAAAUUUCAUCUUUAGAUAAUAUUAAUAAAAAAAAAAAAAAGAAAAAAAUAAAAAAACAGAAAAGACAGCCUAUUCUUAAAAAAAAAAAAAAAAAAAAAAAAUAAAAAAAUAACAUAAAUUAUGAUUUAGUAGAAAAAAAAAAAAAAAAAAAAAAUAAAAAAAGACUGUUGUUCUCAUGACUGUUUAAAAAAAAAAAAAAUAAAAAAAUAAAAAAAUCUAGACUUAUAGGGAAUAUUUAAAAAAAAAAAAAAAUAAAAAAACAAAAAAAAAGGAGUUCAUUAUCUGUUGAGAAAAAAAAAAAAAAAAAAAAAAAAAAAAAAAAACAGAAGCAAACAAAGCAAAGUAAAAAAAAAAAAAAGAAAAAAAUAAAAAAAUGGAAGAAGUGCGAGGGGGAGCGAAAAAAAAAAAAAAGAAAAAAAUAAAAAAAGCGGUUGUGGAACCAGAUCUCAAAAAAAAAAAAAAAAGAAAAAAAAAAAAAAAUAGGCAGAAGGAACAGUAUGUGCAAAAAAAAAAAAAAGAAAAAAAGAAAAAAAUGAUGUUUUGAACAUCAUGGCAAAAAAAAAAAAAAAAGAAAAAAACAAAAAAAGGGGUGGUAAGUCAAGAGAAGACAAAAAAAAAAAAAAUAAAAAAAGAAAAAAAUGUUAUUCAGAAAACAAUCUGGAAAAAAAAAAAAAAAUAAAAAAAUAAAAAAAAACAU